Molecule: small nuclear RNA, 101 nt
Filed under: Rhinolophus ferrumequinum (greater horseshoe bat)
Lineage: Eukaryota; Metazoa; Chordata; Mammalia; Chiroptera; Rhinolophidae
Source: RNAcentral
GCAUCCACUCUGUGCCUAUUGUUCUGUGGAACCAUACAGAGAAGAUUAGCAUGGCCCCUACACAAGGAUGAAACGAAAUUCAUGAAGCAUUCUACCUUUUU